UUACGGCCAUAUGACGUUGAAACGCCAAUUCCCUUACGAUCACCGAAGUUAAGCAACGUCGAGCCUGGUCAGUACCUAGAUGAGCGACUGCUUGGGAAUACCAGAUGCUGUAA
Acanthosepion pharaonis is the source of this 113-nucleotide non-coding RNA. The record is from the annotation of a GenBank genome assembly. NCBI's taxonomy places the organism in Eukaryota, Metazoa, Mollusca, Cephalopoda, Sepiida, Sepiidae.